This 406-nucleotide ribosomal RNA is filed under the name uncultured bacterium. RNAcentral describes it as "partial 16S ribosomal RNA". It matches the Rfam family "Bacterial small subunit ribosomal RNA", at positions 30 to 526 of the family's 1533-position model. The record is from RNAcentral.
AUUGAACGCUGGCGGCAGGCCUAACACAUGCAAGUCGCGCGAGCGGCGGACGGGUGAGUAAUGUAUGGGGAUCUGCCUGAUGGCGGGGGAUAACUACUGGAAACGGUAGCUAAUACCGCAUACCAUCAGAUGAGCCCAUAUGGGAUUAGCUAGUAGGUAGGGUAACGGCUUACCUAGGCGACGAUCCCUAGCUGGUCUGAGAGGAUGAUCAGCCACACUGGGACUGAGACACGGCCCAGACUCCUACGGGAGGCAGCAGUGGGGAAUAUUGCACAAGGGGCGCAAGCCUGAUGCAGCCAUGCCGCGUGUAUGAAGAAGGCCUUCGGGUUGUAAAGGACUUUCAGCCGGGAGGCGUUACCCACAGAAGAAGCACCGGCUAACUCCGUGCCAGCAGCCGCGGUAAUAC